This 286-nucleotide long non-coding RNA is filed under the name Helianthus annuus (common sunflower). RNAcentral describes it as "sRNA HanXRQr2_Chr04g0154991". Lineage: Eukaryota; Viridiplantae; Streptophyta; Magnoliopsida; Asterales; Asteraceae. The record is from RNAcentral.
UUCGUCUCAAACCCUAAUUAAUCAAUCGAUCAAUUGAAAUUGAAUCGUGUUGUGAUGAAUGAAAACCUAGAGGAAGUUGUUGUUGUUUACCGUAGAUCUGAGGAUGAAAAUGAAAUAUAGGUGGAUACAGUGUGUGUGUGUGUGUGAAAAAACAGUGUUGGAUCUGAGAAGAUGAGUUGUGUAAAAAGUUGAUUUUGAUGAACUUGAAAUGAAAAUUAGUUGGAACUUGUUCCGGGUUGGUAACGGUUUGGUUCAUUUCAGUAUCGUUAUUAUGUUAUGGUACUAG